Molecule: ribosomal RNA, 386 nt
Filed under: uncultured bacterium
Lineage: Bacteria
Description: bacterial SSU rRNA
Rfam family: Bacterial small subunit ribosomal RNA
Source: RNAcentral
AUUGAACGCUGGCGGCAUGCCUUACACAUGCAAGUCGAGCGGCAGCGCGGGGGCAACCCUGGCGGCGAGCGGCGCACGGGUGAGUAAUACAUCGGAACGUGUCCUUUUGUGGGGGAUAACCAGUCGAAAGACUGGCUAAUACCGCAUGAGAUCUCACGAUGAAAGCGGGGGACCGCAAGGCCUCGCGCGAUUGGAGCGGCCGAUGUCGGAUUAGCAGUUGGCGGGUAAAGCCCACCAAGGCGACGAUCCGUAGCUGGUUUGAGAGAACGACCAGCCACACUGGGACUGAGACACGGCCCAGACUCCUACGGGAGGCAGCAGUGGGGAAUUUUGGACAAUGGGGGCAACCCUGAUCCAGCCAUGCCGCGUGUGUGAAGAAGGCCUGG